AUACUUAGCAGAGAAAACACCAUGAUCACGAAAGUGGUUUUCCUGUUGUGUGGCUUAUUCUUUGCACUUUGGGUUUGUUGACUCCUGUGAUUUCCUUAAAUGUAGGAAACCCAGCUGCAUAAUUUCUUAUAGUGGGGAACUGCACCUUUUUACUUCCUCU
Manis pentadactyla (Chinese pangolin) is the source of this 160-nucleotide small nuclear RNA. RefSeq annotates it as U1 spliceosomal RNA. The record is from RefSeq and is a predicted model, not a curated record. Lineage: Eukaryota; Metazoa; Chordata; Mammalia; Pholidota; Manidae. The transcript has a single exon.